This 1043-nucleotide ribosomal RNA is filed under the name uncultured Mycobacterium sp. RNAcentral's name for it is "bacterial SSU rRNA". It matches the Rfam family "Bacterial small subunit ribosomal RNA", at positions 77 to 1136 of the family's 1533-position model. Lineage: Bacteria; Bacillati; Actinomycetota; Actinomycetes; Mycobacteriales; Mycobacteriaceae. The record is from RNAcentral.
CCUUCGGGGUACUCGAGUGGCGAACGGGUGAGUAACACGUGGGUGAUCUGCCCUGCACUUUGGGAUAAGCCUGGGAAACUGGGUCUAAUACCGAAUAUGACUACAUGCUUCCUGGUGUGUGGUGUAAAGCUUUUGCGGUGUGGGAUGGGCCCGCGGCCUAUCAGCUUGUUGGUGGGGUAAUGGCCUACCAAGGCGACGACGGGUAGCCGGCCUGAGAGGGUGACCGGCCACACUGGGACUGAGAUACGGCCCAGACUCCUACGGGAGGCAGCAGUGGGGAAUAUUGCACAAUGGGCGCAAGCCUGAUGCAGCGACGCCGCGUGAGGGAUGACGGCCUUCGGGUUGUAAACCUCUUUCAGCACAGACGAAGCGCAAGUGACGGUAUGUGCAGAAGAAGGACCGGCCAACUACGUGCCAGCAGCCGCGGUAAUACGUAGGGUCCGAGCGUUGUCCGGAAUUACUGGGCGUAAAGAGCUCGUAGGUGGUUUGUCGCGUUGUUCGUGAAAACUCACAGCUUAACUGUGGGCGUGCGGGCGAUACGGGCAGACUUGAGUACUGCAGGGGAGACUGGAAUUCCUGGUGUAGCGGUGGAAUGCGCAGAUAUCAGGAGGAACACCGGUGGCGAAGGCGGGUCUCUGGGCAGUAACUGACGCUGAGGAGCGAAAGCGUGGGGAGCGAACAGGAUUAGAUACCCUGGUAGUCCACGCCGUAAACGGUGGGUACUAGGUGUGGGUUUCCUUCCUUGGGAUCCGUGCCGUAGCUAACGCAUUAAGUACCCCGCCUGGGGAGUACGGCCGCAAGGCUAAAACUCAAAGAAAUUGACGGGGGCCCGCACAAGCGGCGGAGCAUGUGGAUUAAUUCGAUGCAACGCGAAGAACCUUACCUGGGUUUGACAUGCACAGGACGCCGGCAGAGAUGUCGGUUCCCUUGUGGCCUGUGUGCAGGUGGUGCAUGGCUGUCGUCAGCUCGUGUCGUGAGAUGUUGGGUUAAGUCCCGCAACGAGCGCAACCCUUGUCCUAUGUUGCCAGCGGGUUAUGCCGGGG